GAACUAGAUAACUAGAGUGCAGGAGAGGUAAGUGGAAUUCCUAGUGUAGCGGUAAAAUGCGUAGAUNUUAGGAGGAACACCNGUGGCGAAGGCGACUUACUGGACUGAAACUGACGCUGAGUCACGAAAGCGUGGGGAGCAAACAGGAUUAGAUACCCUGGUAGUCCACGCUGUAAACGAUGAGUGCUAGGUGUUGGGUAGAGAUAUUCGGUGCCNNANCAAACGCAAUAAGCACUCCACCUGGGGAGUACNAUCGCAA
RNAcentral lists this ribosomal RNA (259 nucleotides) under uncultured Eubacterium sp. RNAcentral's name for it is "partial 16S ribosomal RNA". It matches the Rfam family "Bacterial small subunit ribosomal RNA", at positions 630 to 891 of the family's 1533-position model. Lineage: Bacteria; Bacillati; Bacillota; Clostridia; Eubacteriales; Eubacteriaceae. The record is from RNAcentral.